GUAGGUGGCGAGCGUUGUCCGGAAUUAUUGGGCGUAAAGCGCGCGCAGGCGGUUCUUUAAGUCUGAUGUGAAAGCCCACGGCUCAACCGUGGAGGGUCAUUGGAAACUGGAGAACUUGAGUACAGAAGAGGAAAGCGGAAUUCCACGUGUAGCGGUGAAAUGCGUAGAGAUGUGGAGAAACACCAGUGGCGAAGGCGGCUUUCUGGUCUGUAACUGACGCUGAGGCGCGAAAGCGUGGGGAGCAAACAGGAUUAGAUACCCUGGUAGUCCACGCCGUAAACGAUGAGUGCUAAGUGUUAGGGGGGUUUUCCGCCCCCCUUAGUGCUGCAGCUAACGCAUUAAGCACUCCGCCUGGGAGUACGGCCGCAAGGCUG
This 374-nucleotide ribosomal RNA is filed under the name uncultured organism. RNAcentral describes it as "partial 16S ribosomal RNA". It matches the Rfam family "Bacterial small subunit ribosomal RNA", at positions 527 to 896 of the family's 1533-position model. The record is from RNAcentral.